Molecule: ribosomal RNA, 762 nt
Filed under: uncultured fungus
Lineage: Eukaryota; Fungi
Description: eukaryotic LSU rRNA
Rfam family: Eukaryotic small subunit ribosomal RNA (bases 1-241)
Source: RNAcentral
UUGCUCUUCAACGAGGAAUGCCUAGUAAGCGCAUGUCAUCAGCAUGCGUUGAUUACGUCCCUGCCCUUUGUACACACCGCCCGUCGCUACUACCGAUUGAAUGGCUCAGUGAGGCGUUCGGACUGGCCCAGGGAGGUCGGCAACGACCACCCAGGGCCGGAAAGUUCGUCAAACUUGGUCAUUUAGAGGAAGUAAAAGUCGUAACAAGGUUUCCGUAGGUGAACCUGCGGAAGGAUCAUUACCACAUAUCAUCAGGGGGGAAACUUCGGUUUCCCCUGUCUGAACCCUUGUCUUUUGCGUACUAUUUGUUUCCUUGGUAGGCUUGCCUGCCGAUAGGACAACCAUUAAACCUUUUGUAAUUGCAAUCAGCGUCAGAAAAACAUAAUAAUUACAACUUUCAACAACGGAUCUCUUGGUUCUGGCAUCGAUGAAGAACGCAGCGAAAUGCGAAAAGUAGUGUGAAUUGCAGAAUUCAGUGAAUCAUCGAAUCUUUGAACGCACAUUGCGCCCCUUGGUAUUCCAUGGGGCAUGCCUGUUCGAGCGUCAUUUGUACCUUCAAGCUCUGCUUGGUGUUGGGUGUUUGUCCCGCUUUUUGUGUGGACUCGCCUCAAAGCAAUUGGCAGCCGGCGUACUAGCCUGGAGCGCAGCACAUUUUGCGCAUCUUGACUUGAACGCUUGCGUCCAUUAAGCACAUAUUUUAACUCUUGACCUCGGAUCAGGUAGGGAUACCCGCUGAACUUAAGCAUAUCAAUAAGCGGAGGA